RNAcentral lists this ribosomal RNA (249 nucleotides) under Labidus coecus. Its description in RNAcentral is "partial large subunit ribosomal RNA". The record is from RNAcentral. Lineage: Eukaryota; Metazoa; Arthropoda; Insecta; Hymenoptera; Formicidae.
GAAUUUUAUUAAUAUUAAAUUAUUAUCAUAUUAUUAUUAUUAGUAAAUUUAAUAUUUAUUUGAUUGGGGGGAUAUUUAAAUUAGUAAAACUUUAAAUUAAUUUAUAACGUUAAUUAAUGGGAUAGCGAAUUAUAUUAAUGAUUUCAAUUAUGUUAAUAAAAGAAUAAAUUACCUUAGGGAUAACAGCAUAAUAGUUUUAGAGAGUUCGAUUGAUAAAAUUGAUGAGUUCGUAUUGAUAAAAAUGUUUGG